UUUUUUUUCCCUCCCCUAUAGCUCCUCCAGCUUUUCCUCCGGCAUCCAGGAUCUCAAAAUCUGACCGGGAGCUGUCGGAAUUUUUGGGAUUUGGGAUUUUUCCCCCCCAAAAAAAUUCCCAAAAUAAUCCGGGAUCAACUCGGAAUUCCGGGACGAGAUGCAGGAGAGCUACGAGAGCGUCAUUUCCUUGGCCGAGGAGAUCGCCAUCAGCUGGCCGCGGAUCACCGCCUUCGCCGAAUCGCACCGGAGACGCGGCCUGGGCGCCGACGCCGUCCCGGCCUCACCGAGCGACAACGCCGAGCACGAGCCGCCUCCAAACCCCCUGGAAAAACCCCAAACCCCCGGCACGCCGCCGCCUCCCCCCCCCAAACCCCCCCCCCGCCCCC
Passer montanus (Eurasian tree sparrow) is the source of this 386-nucleotide long non-coding RNA. RefSeq lists it as uncharacterized. The transcript is spliced from 4 exons. NCBI's taxonomy places the organism in Eukaryota, Metazoa, Chordata, Aves, Passeriformes, Passeridae. The record is from RefSeq and is a predicted model, not a curated record.